GAUAUAACACUAAUUCCAUUUAAGAUUUUUAAUUUGCAAUUAAAGGAAGCAUUGCUUAUAUUA
This 63-nucleotide transfer RNA is filed under the name Bathynomus sp. YS-2016. RNAcentral's name for it is "tRNA-Ala". The record is from RNAcentral. Lineage: Eukaryota; Metazoa; Arthropoda; Malacostraca; Isopoda; Cirolanidae.